GUCAUCCCCCUUCAUUUCCCCCUAGACAACAGCUCGUUUCCCUUGCUGUCUCCUUUUCCAACGCUCCAUGAUGAGAAUAGCACUGACUAUGGAAGGUUGAGGUCUGGGCAGAGGCUUGAUCUGAACACAUCCGGGCAUUUCAGCAGCCGGGCUUCCCUUCCGGUCCCUUUUCCCGUGAACAUCCUGCAGGUGUCUCCGACGGCCAUAGCAAAGUUUCAAUUCCACAUAAUGUAUAAUUAUGGCAACACAAGCAUAAAUUACCAAGGACAAGAAGCUGCAAAAUGAAGAAAUUGACUUGCCUAGGAUACCAGGAUAACAGAAGAGGUAUGGAUCAGGACUCGGAAGUCUUUCAACCUUUAAGUCCCACUGUUUUCUCUCCUAUCUACUGACCCAGAUCCCAAACUGCAAAAUCAAGAGUAGCUAACAAAAGCUCAACGUGUUGGAAUGGACAUGAAUUGUCCUGACCUCAGUAUCACUGACAUCAAUGAGAUAAAACCUGACCAAAUACUGACAGAAUUCAUGAACUGGCUUCUUCUCGGUCUCCUCCUGGUACUAGCAAAAAGACAAGUAAAAGCUGCCCAGUGGAAGAAUGGUUUGCUUAAUGAAAGCUGUCAGCCUCCCAUAUCCACCUACAAGGGACACUUAUUUGGGGGUCACCUGGGAACCAAAGCAGAGACACCGAGGUGGGUGUACUGGCCUGUAACCGAGUGUCACGAUGACAGAUUUGACCUGCUGACUGCAGAAAUGUGUAUCGAACUGACCUGAGCCAUCAAAAGGAGGCAGCUGUUAAAAUUUCUCUGUGAGCACCGUAACUUUGCCACAGUCCUCUCUGGCUCUCAUGAAAACUCCCACAUUUUGACAAUUGGGGUUUUGCUACAACAACUUUAAUGAACGCUGUCUUGCAACAUGGGCCUCACCCUGAAUCGUCUUUUUAGAUCAUUACUUCCUACAGAGCAUCGGCACGGAAGGGGUUCAUCCCAGGGAAUUAGUUUUAGACAGUCACAUGGGGGUGAAUGGAAAGAGGGUUCGAAUCCUACUUUAUAGAUGGGUUAGUGGUGUGUCUUCCAUUUAACUUUUUCUGCAAAAUGAGGAUAAUCAUUAUAGCUGUUACAAACAGAGUCCAGGGCAGCCAGGUGGGGGAGUGGAAAGAGUGCUGGGUCUGGAGUCGGGAAGAACCGGACUCAAAUCUAGCCUUGGAUGCUAGCCAGCGAACCCUGGGCAAGUGUUCUAUAGAGCUUACAGCAUUCUAUAAAGGCCCUUUAUUGUUGCUGCUGUUGUUAUGUGCUCAACGGUUCUCAUUUUAAGAUACUCAUCUCAUGACUCUUAAACAACAUUAUUCAAAGGUUCUAGUAUAUUACUGAAUAAUUACAAUAACCAUAGGGUUGAAAAGUGUAUUUAAGGCAUCUUUUUGAUUACAAUCAGGCCUGCUUCUCACUUACUCCUGAUAUUUAUAAGCAUUUUAUAGUUUGCAAAGUACUUUACUUAUAUCAUCUUGUUUGAAUCUCAUGACAAUCCUAUGAGCUAAAUAUUAUCAGUAUAUUCCAUUCAUUUUGCAAAUGAAUGAACUGAGGCUGAGAAGUUUGGACAGUUAAGUGGUGUGGUAGAUAGAGACCUGGGACUAGAGUCAGGAAAAUGAGCUCAGACCUGGCCUCAGAUGCUUACUAGCUGCAGAACCCUAGGCAAGUCACUUAACCUUGUUUGCCUUAGUUUCCUCAUUAGAAAAUGAGCUAGAGGAGGAAAUGGCAAACCCCUCCAGGAUCUUUGUCAAGAAAACUCCAGAUGGGGUCAUGAUGAAUCGGACACAAGUGAGAAACCACUGAACUCAAAAUAUCUAUUACAAGAAUUGAGAUUCCACAAAUUCUCUACUUCUGGUUUUUCUAUUCUAUUAAAUAAAGAAAAUGGAGGAAAGGAACAAGCAUCUCUUCUGAAAUGCAGUGGGCUUUACAAUUAUAAUUAUAUUUGAUCCUCACAACACCCACAGGGGGCAGAUGCUAUUACUAUUACUGUCACUGCCACCACUACUACUACCUAACAUGCAUAUUGCUUUCUAUGUAUCAGGCACCGUGUUAAGCCCAUUACAAUUAUUAUUUCACUUAACCUCUCUGGUGCUUUUUACUGUAUUACUACUCCUACUAUUACUAUUACCACUACCAUUUUACAGCUAAGGAAACUAAGGCAGACAGAGGUUAAGUGACUUUUCCAGGGUCAUAUAGCCAGUAAGUAUCUUGAGGUCAAAUUUGAACUCGGGUCUUCCUGACUCCAGGUCCAAGAGCCAAGACUCUAGGGAGCAAUGAAGAGUUGCUGGAUUUUGAGUCAAAGGUAGUCUGGACUCACAUCCCAGUCCUGCUGCCACUAUGUGACUUUAGGCAAAUUACUUAAUCCCUCUGGGUCUCAGGGUCUUCAUCUGCAAACUGUAGGAAUUGAAUUAGAUAACUCCUAAGGUCAAUUCCAGAAUCAGUUUAUGGUCCUGCGGUUUCCCAGGAAAAAAUAAGAGAAACCCAGUGUUCUCUGUUCCUUCCCUGUUGUAGUUAUUUGCACGGGCAAGCUGAGGGAGCUAAACCUGGUCAUAAAAUCAUUCAGCUUCUUUACCCCACUUCCUUUCUUUCUCUACCUCUACAAGGCAAUAAAAUCAAAUGGCUUUUUGGUAAAUGAGUCACCUCCCUUUCUCCAGAGGGAGUUUCUCUACAUCCUGAAGAGUUUAGCCAGAGAAGAUGAAUAGAGAAGUAAAAUAAGGGAUGAUGAAUGAUAAUAAGUAUGAAUAACAAUUAGACACAAGACAAGCAAGCAACAAACUGGAAAGAGUGGAGGUUAUAGAAUGCUUUCUUUGCUAGAUAACGGUUUCCUAUUGUUCAUUUGGUGGCUAAGCCCACCUUGGGAUGUUUUUUUCCUCCUCUGCUAAAGUGUGAAACUGCAUGUGUAGGCAUAAACUAUCUAAGCCAAAAUCACUCAUUUGCCAUUGCAAUGGUAGGCUUGACUGGCAUUAAAAUACAUUCAGUUUUUGUUUUCUAAGCUCAAAGAGCUGGAAAGAAAGUGUAACCAUUUACUCAAAAACUGACAUGAGGCACCUCAGAGAGGCAGAGAAUAUGAUAAAACUGGGGGGAAAAUAUUACCUAUAUAGUUAUAAAUUAAAGUUGUUUGAAAAGUUAAGCAUAGAAUGGGGAAAAAAAUCACCUCCACAUAAAAUGUCUUCUUCCAUUGAAAGACAUUCUUUAUGAUUCUUGUAUAUACCUCAUUGAAUCUCAACUCAGAGAGGCAAACAGAAACUUUUAAAAUAUUCUUGUUUAAAAAAAAAAAGAAAGAAAAGAGAGGAAGUUCACCAGGAAGAAGCACUGCAUUAGAUGCAACAGUAAAUGUGAUAAGCCUAAACAACCCCCCCCCCCCCAGUUUCCCUAUCUUUUCCAGGCUGGCACUGCAUCAGCCAUUCACAGAUCCCAUUCCAGCACUGCUGAGUUUGGAGGCUUUGCCCUGCUGUUUCUCCCCUGGGCCAAUUCCCCUCCUUAGGCAGUCUGGUGGCUUCUUUCUCUCAGAGACUCACCAUAUUGGUACCAGAACUGAUGCGGACAUCUAGUUGACUUAGUCCAUUGCAGUUCAGAGGUCUCAAACUCAAGUGAAACAUUAACCUCAGUCUCCUCUGUAGAGGAUAUUACAGAGAAGUGCCACCAUGACUAGUAGAAGAUUCCCCCAAAACAUACUCAAAUAAGGUAACAACACUGCUGUCACUCAGAGGUCUCAAAAUACUUUAGGAGAACCUCCUUACUAAUCCUACCACUAGCCCCCUAGCAGAUAGAUGAUGGUAACUAUGGUUUCUCUUUCAUCUGUAGCAGUGCCACACAAUUGUUCUCUUUAUGUGAGUAGCAGAAAUCCAUCCCUCAAAAACAAGUUCAAAUUUGGGAAAGAAAAAAAAUGACCAAAGAAUUAAUGAACAAAAUAGGAGAGAUUAAUAUAAAUAAAGGAAACAAUUAUCAUAUCAAAAUAUAAGACAAGAAAGCUGAUUAAGUGAAGCAUCAAAAGACCUGUGAGAAACUGAUGAAAGGCAUAAUAUGCAUUUACCUGGUUUUUAUUCUUUCAUGAUUUAAUUUUCAAUUUUAUUCACUACCAUCUGAUAAUUGCAUGAAACAGUUACUCUAACCAUGGGCAAUUUAAACAAUUUAAAUUUUUAUUUCAAGGCCAUGAGACAAAAGAACCUAUUUAUUGCCUGAGGGGAUUUUUACAAAAAUGAAAGCUUAAUCUUUCAUGUUUUUUAAGCAAAG
This is a non-coding RNA of Monodelphis domestica (gray short-tailed opossum), 4250 nucleotides long. NCBI's taxonomy places the organism in Eukaryota, Metazoa, Chordata, Mammalia, Didelphimorphia, Didelphidae. The record is from RefSeq and is a predicted model, not a curated record.